GGGCCAUCACCUUCUUUGCCUGCAGAGUUGUUGUGUGCAGUUGUCACAGUUUCCCAAGUCACUCUCUUGACUGGUAGAAUAAAAUAUAACCAGACUCUGAAUUUUUUGAUAUAUCAGAGGUCAGUCCAUAAAAUUCUUCAAUAGCUUGAGCAUCUAUUUUCUCUACAAUGUCAUCAUCAAACAAGAGCCAAAAUCCAUGACUUUUCACAAUAGUAAUAUAAUGCCCACGAUUCGGUCCACUUCCACAGUGAACAACAACAGCUACUAAGUCG
This 272-nucleotide long non-coding RNA is filed under the name Gallus gallus (chicken). Lineage: Eukaryota; Metazoa; Chordata; Aves; Galliformes; Phasianidae. The record is from RNAcentral.